UACAGAGGGUGCGAGCGUUGUCCGGAAUCACUGGGCGUAAAGGGCGCGUAGGUGGCGGCCCAAGUCCGUGGUGAAAGCUCGCCGCUUAACGGCGAGUCGGCCACGGAGACUGGGUGGCUCGAGCACUGUAGGGGCAGAUGGAAUUCCGGGUGUAGCGGUGGAAUGCGUAGAGAUCCGGAAGAACACCAGUGGCGAAGGCGGUCUGCUGGGCAGUUGCUGACACUGAUGCGCGACAGCGUGGGGGAGCAAACAGG
Molecule: ribosomal RNA, 254 nt
Filed under: uncultured bacterium
Lineage: Bacteria
Description: partial 16S ribosomal RNA
Rfam family: Bacterial small subunit ribosomal RNA
Source: RNAcentral